AGCAAGGGCAGAAUCCAAUUUUCUGCCACCGAAAUACAUUAGCAUGGGAUAAUGGAAUAGGACCCUGUCCUCCUAUUUUCAGUUGGUUUUGGCAGCGCGAGGACUAGGGUAAUGAUUAAUAGGGAUAGUUGGGGGCAUUAAUAUUUAAUUGUCAGAGGUGAAAUUCUUGGAUUUAUGAAAGAUUAACUUCUGCGAAAGCAUCUGCCAAGGAUGUUUUCAUUAAUCAAGAACGAAAGUUAGGGGAUCGAAGACGAUCAGAUACCGUCGUAGUCUUAACCAUAAACGAUGCCGACCAGCGAUUAGGAGACGUUGAAUACAAAACACCACCAUCGGUGCGGUCGUCCUUGGCGUCUGUCUUUCGGGGCGGGCGCGGGGACGGCUUAGCCCGGUGGCACCGGUGAAUGACUCCCCUAGCAGUUUUGGAGAGAAAA
Molecule: ribosomal RNA, 431 nt
Filed under: Acanthamoeba sp.
Lineage: Eukaryota; Discosea; Longamoebia; Acanthamoebidae
Description: SSU rRNA
Rfam family: Eukaryotic small subunit ribosomal RNA
Source: RNAcentral